Molecule: non-coding RNA, 747 nt
Filed under: Galeruca daurica
Lineage: Eukaryota; Metazoa; Arthropoda; Insecta; Coleoptera; Chrysomelidae
Source: RNAcentral
AAAGUUUUAUUUUAGCUUAGAAAUUAAAUUUUAUUUUUAAUUAUAUAUAAGUUAUUUUUUAGAAGAAUAUUAUAGUAAUUAUAUUUAUAUAUUAAGGAAAUUUAGAUUUAGAAAUAAUAAUUAGUAUUAACAAAAUUUGCGCCAGCAGUUGCGGUUAUUAAAAUGAUAUAAUUUAAUUUUAUUAGUAAAAAUUAGUUUUAUUAUGAAUAAUUUUUAUAUAGGAUUUUUUAAGUGAAAUUUUAAAUUUUAAGGAUAAAUUUUAAUUUUAAAAUGAAGUUUAUAAGUUUAAUUAGUAAACUAGGAUUAGAUACCCUAUUAUUUUAAAUGUAAUUAAAAAUACUAAAUUAGUAUUAGUUAUGUUCUUAAAAAUUAAAAAUUUUGGCGGUAUUUUAGUCUUUUCAGAGGAACCUGUUCUGUAAAUGAUAAUCCACGAUUUAAUUUAUUUAUAUUAUUAAUUUGUAUAUCAUCGUAAUUAAGUAUUUUACUAAAAUUAUAAAUAUUUAAGAUUUUAAAUUAAAAAAUUAGUCAGAUCAAGGUGCAAUUUAUAUAUAAGUAGAAAUGGGUUACAAUAAAUAUAUUUUUGGAAAAUUUUUUUUAUUAAAGGUUUGAAUUUGGAUUUGAAAGUAAUUUUAAUAAAUUAAUUAAUUUGAUUUUGGCUCUAAAAUAUGUACAUAUCGCCCGUCGCUUUCAUUUAAUAUGAAAUAAGUCGUAACAAAGUAGAUUUACUGGAAAGUAAAUCUAGAUUAU